GAGUUUGAUCAUGGCUCAGAUUGAACGCUGGCGGCAUGCCUUACACAUGCAAGUCGAACGGCAGCACGGGAGCUUGCUCCUGGUGGCGAGUGGCAAACGGGUGAGUAAUGCAUCGGAACGUAUCCUGGAGUGGGGGAUAACGUAGCGAAAGUUACGCUAAUACCGCAUAUUCUGUGAGCAGGAAAGCGGGGGACCUUCGGGCCUCGCGCUCUUGGAGCGGCCGAUGUCGGAUUAGCUAGUUGGUGAGGUAAAGGCUCACCAAGGCGACGAUCCGUAGCAGGUCUGAGAGGAUGAUCUGCCACACUGGAACUGAGACACGGUCCAGACUCCUACGGAGGCAGCAGUGGGGAAUUUUGGACAAUGGGGGCAACCCUGAUCCAGCCCAUGCCGCGUGAGUGAAGAAGGCCUCGGUUGUAAG
This 418-nucleotide ribosomal RNA is filed under the name bacterium enrichment culture clone ALO1_GLFRUDD03GY85X. RNAcentral describes it as "bacterial SSU rRNA". It matches the Rfam family "Bacterial small subunit ribosomal RNA", at positions 9 to 429 of the family's 1533-position model. The record is from RNAcentral.